CGGGCACUUCUGAAUGAAGUCUUUAAAUCGCUCUCAAGCUUCAUAUAGCGUUUCAUCAUCCAAUUGCCGAAAAGAUGUGAUGUCAUUUCUAAGCUUGGCAUUCAUAUUUGGAGGAUUAUAUCGUAGAAAAAAACUCUAGCAAAGAUCAUUCCAUGAUGCUACUAUUCAGUACGGCAGAGCAUUCAGUCAUGCUCUCACACGAUCUCUUAAAGAAUAUGGAAACAGUUUAAGUCGCAAAGUGUCUUUAGGCACACCCUACUGUCUCUAUGAGUCAUAAACCUCUAAAAAAAGUCUUAAAUGAAGUAUUGGAUCUUUAUUAGGUAAUCCACUUAACUGUCCUACUGUUUACAACAUCUAAAAUAUUACCAGUUUCAGCUCAAACUACUGAACUUGUAUUUGUGGUCUGACUAUCUCUGGAUUCAAAUCAUCCAAAAUUAGCACAACAUGCUCUCAAAUUGGUCUAUCUCGGUCAUCUAUCACUCUACGAACAUGAAGAUUAGCAUCCUGACCAUUCAAAUUAUCAUUGAGACUAGGAUCAUUUUCGUUUCUAGCAUCAUAGUUCUUUUCACCUUCUUCGUAAAGUUAUUUCGAUGUCUGGGUUAAAAGGAUACUCUUUGUUAGCAGGAAUAUCUUUUCUCAUGUACUGAUGGAAAACUUAUAGAAAAAUAUAACUAAGUUAAAUAAAACUAAUGGAGCUAAGUGAAAUAACAAAACCAAUUUUUAGGAAAUUGUCAAUCCCUGGCAACGGUGCCAAAAAAUUGUCGCGUGUGAAUAUGAUAUGUGAAUUGUGCAAGUAUACACGUUGGAUCAACUAAUAAAAUGAUAAGUGAGUAUCAUUCCCAUGAGGUUCCGAUUGAUGCACAAAAGUGGUCAAGUUAUUAUAAUAGAGUGUUAUUAAUGCUAUGGCAAAAACAACGAUAAGUAUAAAGGAGUAGUGAUGUAUGUAAUAUGUGGAAUUUAAUGAAUACAUGGAAAUGUUAUGGAAAAACAAAAGUAGAAAUGUAAUGGAAAUUAUGAGAAUUACUACGGGAAUAUUAUGUAAAUGAACAAAUAAAUAACUAAUAAUGAUGUGACAAAGAUACUAUGGCAAAGAACAAAGGAUAUACGAUGUUGAUUUGGAAUGUUGGAAUUACUAAGAAUCUACCCUUACUGUCAGAGAUGCCUCGAAAAAAUCAUAAUUAAUUUACUACUUAGAAGAGUUCUAAAGUGGUCUGCUUCUUUCGAGAGCAAAAGUCUCAAGUUACCUUACCCAUGACAAUAUGCCUUUAAUACGAUACCCUGCACUAUUUCUUUCUGUAUGAAUGUUGCUCUAUAUCUAAAGUCUACUACAAGCAUCUAUUGAAUACUUGCUCAUAUCAUUCAAUUUUGGUCCAACUAAUCCAACUUUUUCAAAAUUAAAUUAGUUUAUGUGCAUGCUACAUAGUCUCUAUGUCUAGGAAUUGCACGCUUAUAAUUUAGAAAAAAAUAAUUAAAUGAAACAGUAAAUUAAUUCAAAUCUAUGCUUCAACCAUUAAAGAAAAUAAAGGUUUCAUCAUGUAAUCUCAACCCUAUGAAAUUUAGCUCAUGGGUUGGCACAUAAAAUUUAAAACCAAAAUAACAUCCAACACCAUUUUCAUCAUUCCAUUCAAGGAAGAACAAAGGAAGAAAAGUAUAAGACUUUGAGAAUACAACUUUUGCAUGUCAUGUUCACACUCCAACAACAUAAUUCAGGCGAUGGCUAAGAGGGACUACUUUUGUCUUCCUCUUUUUGUCUCUACUCAGUCGCUACCCUCUAUUUUUGCCUAAGGAUCUGUUACUUUUUGUUCGUCAUUUAGGGUUUCCUCCUUUGGCUUCUUAUAGCUUUUUUCCUUGGGUAAAUCCAACAAAUCAUGUUUAUCUUCUCCUCUUUUUAAAAUUUUUUUUCUAGAAUAAAAAUAAACAUCCCAGGAUUAUCUUCUCCUCUUUUAGGUACAUUUUUUUGGUAAAACUACAGUUGGGCUGAAAUUGGUAUGCAUUGAGUGUUGACUCGGUCUUCCUAGAAUUGCCACAGCAUUCGUGCUAACCAAAUGUCCAACCUUUUGCCCUGGUAAACCUUUACUCCUUUAUUUCUCAUUCCUCAACCUGCACCUGCCAAAGCACCAAACACAACCCUACCAUAAGCAAUUAAAAGUAUCUAUUAUUGAUUUUUUUUGGUAAGUGGUAAUAGGACUUGUAACUAAUAUAGUUUUGGAAAAAAUAUAAUUUUUUUAGAAUCUUUGAGGCAUAUUUUCGAUUGGUAAAUGAGGAGUUUUGAAUCAUAAAAUUAUGAUUUUAUGUUCUACCCCAUGAGACCUUUACAACGAGAUAUCAUAUGCUCAAAAUGGUUGAGUGAUGAAUGAGAAAUUGAUGCUCAAAGUAAGCUACUUGGAAAUUAUGUUGAGAAAAAUGAAAAAGCAUUAAUCCCACAUUUAUUAGGAAUCAAGUGUGGAACUUGUAUAUAUAUGUAAAUCAACUUGGUGGUUAUUAAAUGAGUAAACUAAUGCUCUCCCUCGUGCGCAGGGGGUGCAAAUCUAAAUCCACUGAGGUUGGGGCACACCCGCACGACAUGGGCGUUUCCAAGAUUUUACUCAAAUUGAUUUAAAGGCUUCUUUAAUGCAUAUUUGUAUCUUUAUUCAUGGAAAUUUCUAAAAUUCUUCCACAUUGAAUGCUUAUAAAAGCCUAAAUUCUUUAAAGACACACAACGAAUUUAUUUCACUCUCGAAAAUUCUAUUCCUUUUCUCUCCAAAAUUUUCAAAUGUCCGGUGAUAGAAGAAUGCAAGGUUUGUUCGUUGAUCACUGCAGACGUACUACUGCCGCAAUCAUUUUGUUAUUGUAUCCUGGGAGACAGAUGACCAACAUUUCUCUAAGUACCAUAGGAGCAGCUGAAUCUGUCUUAAGGAAACUGUGAAAACAGGCCUCAGCAUCUAGUAAAACUCGAUUUCCUUAUUCAAUUUCUGGUUUUUCAAUAUCUUGUUUAUAUAAUUAUUUUUUAGAUUUGAUGUUUUAAAUAAAUAUUAAUAUUUAUUUAAUUUAUUUUGUUUAGAUCUGGUGUUUUUACACAAAUAUAGAUAUUUGGUUAUAUUAUUUGUUCAAGAUAUUAUAUUUAAUAUAAAUAUUUACAUUUAUAUUUGUUCGCUAACGUGUUUUGUCCAACAAUAUUAAGACAGAUUUUUAUUAUUUUAAAAUUCUCUAAUCCGAGUAGAACGAGGCACGAAGGCGAAAAAAACAUAUUCUGUCUAAGGAAAAAAUUAAAUUGAAUAAAAUCUAUUUCGGGAUUUAUGAUUGUCGUUCAAUAGAUUUUAUUCCUUUUUUAUUUUGUUUCCAAACAAGAAUUAAUUGAAUAAUUCUAUUUCAGAAUUUAUUCUCGCAUCUCAACAGAUUUUAUUCUAUUUUGAUUUUGUUUCCAAACAAUAAUUAAAUAAAUAAUUCUAUUUCGAGAUUUAUUCCCGCCAUUUAACAGAUUUUAUUUGAUUUUGAUUUUGUUUCCAAACAAGAUUUAAUUAAAUAAUUUUGUUUCAAGAUUUAAUCCUGUCGGCCAACAAAAUUGAUUUUAAUUUUAUUUCAGAAUUUUAACUCUUCCAUUUAACAAAAUCAAAGGGUAAUAUAAAUUUUAAAUUAAAUUUUUUAUUUAUUGUGGCUUUAAUUGUGGCUUUAAAUUGUGAAAGCUUAAAUUGUAGCUUCAAACUUGUGACAUCAAAGAAAAAAAAAUUUAUCAACGGUGAAUUAAAAAAGACAAUAUGAGAGUGCAUGUCUAGGAUUGGUUCUUUGAAAGACUUGGUAUUUAAGCGUGCCAAGUGCACCACCUCUCUUUCAGGGUUACCUACCUGGCACAUUUUUUUUGUCUUUCGAUUAGACCGUGUAAACUUUUGUUUCAAGUUUUAUUAAAUUCCUAUCGUCUAGCAAAAGUUGAUAAUUUUUUUCUAAUUUUGGUUUUGUUUCUGAAAUCUUAACAGAAAAUGGAAACUCCCACCAAUGCUAUGGAAGAUAUGGACUUAUGUGCUGUGAUUUUUGGAGUCAACAUGGUUGACUCACAUCCAAGAGAAUAGUGGCUUGAUACUAGUGCCACACGUCAUAUUUGUUGUGACAAAGACUUCUUUUCUGAGUUGGAGCCUUGUGAAGAUAGGGAGAAGCUCUAUAUGGGCAAUGCUAUGACUUCCAAGAUCAAGGAGAAUGGUACUAUAGUCUUGAAGAUGACUUCUGGUAGAGAACUCAAGCUUCAAAAUGUGUUGUAUGUGUUUGACAUACGCAAGAACCUUAUUUCUGAGACACUCCUUAGUGUACACGGUUUUAAGACGGUGUUUGAAUCCCAGAAGCUAGUUUUGUCUAAAGGGUGAAUGUUUGUGGGAAGGGGAUAUGUAUUAAAUGACAUAUGGAAACUUAAAGCAAUCUCUGUAAAAUCAAAAACUAUGAAUAAGAGUGUUGUUUCUUCUUCUAUUUAUAUGCUUGAGUCAUUUAAUUUAUGGCAUGGUAGGCUCGGACAUGUUGAUUAUGAUACUUUACAUAGAUUAAUUAAUUUAGAGCACAUUCCUUCAUUUCACAUUAGUUAUAAACAUAAAUGUGAAACUUUUGUUGAGGAAAAAUUAACAAUGCUUUCGUUUGAAACUAUUGAAAGAAAUAUAGAACCACUCGAUCUAAUACAUAGCAAUGUUUGUGACUUAAUGUUUGUUCAAACCAGAGGAAGGAAUAAAUAUUUUAUUACCUUCAUUAAUGAUAGCACAAAAUAUUGUUAUGUAUAUUUGCUUCAGAGCAAAAACGAAGUUAUAGAGAAAUUUAUUCUCUAUAAACAGGAAGUUGAAACCUAACUUAAUAACUAAGAUGGUAAGAAGUGAUUGUGGUGGUAAAUAUGUUGAACCAUUUAGUGAAUACUGUGCACAACAUGGUAUUAUUCAUGAAGUGACACCACCAUACACUUCUCAAUCAAAUGGAAUAACCGAGCGAAAAAAUCAGACUCUAAAGGAAAUGAUGAACGCAUUACUAGGAAGCUCUGGGUUAUCACAGAACAUGUGGGGGGAAGCUAUUCUAUGAGCUAAUUACCUUUUAAAUAAGGUUCCCUACAAGAAAAUGGACAAUACACCAUAUGAGUUAUGGAAAGGUAGAAAACCUUCCUACAACUACUUGAAACUGUGGGGGUGUCUUGCAAAGGUAAUGGCUCCAUUACCAAAGUAAAUGAAAAUAGGUCUUAAAACGGUGGAUGUAUUUUCAUAGGCUAUGUAGAUCAUAGAAAUACAUAUAGGUUUUUUGUGUAUGAAUCAAAGAAUCCUGACAUUCACAAGAAUAUUAUAUUGGAAUCAAUGAAUUCUUUAUUCUUUAAAAAUAUCUUCCCUUAUAAAGCUAGGGAAGUUUAUUCAAGUUCAACAAAAUGAACUUCAGAGACUAUAGAAGAAAAUAGUCAAGACGAGGUUAAAACUAUGAUAGAGCCAAGAGUAAACGAGUAACACUGCAAAAAUCUUUUGGAUCAGAUUUUCUAACCUUUAUGCUAGAUGCUAAACCUCAAACAUGUGAUGAUGCUAUACGGUCAUCUAAAAGCACUUCAUGGAAAGAUGCUAUUAAAAGUGAAAUUGACUCCAUCAUGUAAAAUCAUACAUGAGAAUUAGUGGAUCUUACUCUAGGAAUUAAACCAUUAAAUUCUAAGUGGAUUUUUAAAUGAAAAAUGAAAGCAGAUGAAACAAUUAACAAGUACAAGGUCAGAUUGGUUAUAAAAGGUUAUAGAUAAAAAAGAAGGCCUACUUUGAUACUUUUUCUCCAAUAUCCAGGAUAACUUCUAUAAGGAUGAUACUUGCAAUUGUCGCCUUAUAGAAUCUAGAAGUACAUCAAAUGGAUGUUAAAACAACUUUCCUAAAUGGAGAUCUUGAUGAAGAAAUUUACAUAGAACAACCUGAGGGUCAUGUAAUUCUAAGACAAGAAAGGAAAGUUUGUAAAUUGGUGAAGUCUUUAUAUGGACUUAAGCAAGCACUAAAACAAUGGCAUUAAAACUGUUCGACAAUGCCAUGAUGACAAAUGGCUUUAAGAUUAAUGAAUGUGAAAAUUGUGUGUAUGUCAAAACUACCGAUAUUGGAUAUAUAAUCCUAUGCUUAUAUAUUGAUGACAUAGUCAUUGUUGGGAGUAACAAUGAAAUGGUAAAACGUGCCACAGACAUGUUAAAUUCAACGUUUGACAUGAAAGAUAUGGGACUAGCAAAUGUGAUUUUAGCAUCCAAAUUAAGAGGUCAUAUGAAGGUCUGAUAUUGACUUAGCCACACUAUGUGGACAAGAUUCUUGGGAAAUUUAGCAAGGAUGAUUCCGGUAUAGCCAAAACUCCAAUAGAUACAAGCCAACAUUUGUCCAAAAAUAAAGGUGAAAGUGUUGACCAAGUGGAAUAUGCAGGGGUCAUAGGCAGUCUAAUGUACCUUAUGAGUUGUACUAGACCAGAUAUUGCUUUCACUGUGAGCAGUUUAAGCAUAUUCACAAGCAAUCCAGGGGAAAACCAAUGGAAAGUAAUUGUGAGGAUACUGAGAUAUCUUAGAUAUACUCGGGACUAUGGAUUGCAUUAUUCCAAAAAUCCUAUUGUUUUAGAAGGAUUCUCCUGUGCCAGUUGGAUAUCUGAUAUUCAAGAUACCAAAGGCACAAGUGGAUAUGUUUUUACAUUAGGAGGAGGAGCUAUGUCAUGGAAAUCCCCAAGACAAACGAUUAUAACCAGAUCCAUAAUAGAAUCUGAGUUUGUAGCUCUAGACAAAUCUGGAGAAAAGGCUAAAUGGCUUCGAAACUUCUUGGAAGAUAUUCCUGACUGGCCAAAGCCUGUGCCCACAAUAUGUAUAUAUUGUAACAAUCAAGCAACAAUUGGUAGAGCACAAAAUGUAAUAUAUAAUGGUAAGUCAAGACAUAUGCGUCGUUGACACAAUACUUGUAGACAACUGAUCUCAAAUGGAGUUAUCUCUAUUGAUUUUGUAAAAUCAAAAGAUAACAUUGUGGAUCCGCUAACUAAAUGCUUAAAUCGAGAUCAGGUUAAUAAAACAUCGAAAGGAAUAGGACUAAAGCCCAUGGAAAUUAAAGGCGCUAUGUAAAGGAAAACCCAACCUAGUUGACUGGAGAUCCCAAAAUCUAAGUUCAAAUGGACAACCUAAUUGCAUAGGCCUUGUGAGGUCACUAUAGGGGUUCUUAUUCCAAGUCCGUUCCUAUGAAAUAAACAGUAAUUUAAAGUGAGAUAGGUUAAGUAAAGCUUUUAAUGACCAUUGUGUGUUUCGGAAAGCCAAGCAACAUAAGUCACCUAUGUUAGAGUGAAGUGGGGCCGCUUCGAGGAGACUAUUGUGCAUAGUUCUCUCAAAAUCUUGCAGAACCAGGAAAUGUUCAUGGUCAUAUAAACAUACCUAUGAGAACGAAGACCUUGCUAGGGAGGUAGUUGUGUAAGGUAUAUCAUUGUUUACACAAACGACAGAACAGUUCAAGGAUAUUGCGUCAACUAGUCAGCUAGUAAAAUAAAUAUACUUUCACAAUGUAAGGUUCAAGGGUUGAUGUCUGCCUAUCAUAUGCAACUAUCAAUCGUAGAAUCUAUCACCACAUCCAGCCAAUGUUUUUCAUUAAACCUAUCAAUUUCAUUCAUGUGGGGUAUUGUUGGAAAAAUAUGAUUUUUUGGAAUCUUUGAGGCAUAUUUUCGAUUGGUAAAUGAGGAGUUUUGAAUCAUAAAAUUAUGAUUUUAUGUUCUACCUCAUGAGACCUUUACAACGGGAUAUCAUAUGCUCAAAAUGGUUGAGUGAUGAAUGAGAAAUUGAUGCUCAAAGUAAGCUACUUGGAAAUUAUGUUGAGAAAAAAUGAAAAAGCAUUAGUCCCACAUUGAUUUGGAAUCAAGUGUGGAACUUUUAUAUAUAUGUAAACCAACUUAGUGGUUAUUGAAUGAGUAAACUAAUGCUCUCCCUCGCGCGCAGGGGGUGCAAAUUCAAACCCAUCGGGGUUGGGAAACACCCGCACGACGUGGGUAACGCGAAAUGUCCGGAUCGAUCAGGCCCUUUUAGGCCUGCGAAUAUUUUAGCCCAAUACGUAUUUAUUUAUUUUUUUGAGCAGAUAUUAUACAGAAUCUGUUUUAAAAGAACAAAUAUCUCAUUUUGAUUUGAUUCCAAUCAAAUUUGAUUUUAUUUUAUUCAAAUUGAUUUAAAGGCUCCCUUAAUGCAGAUUUGUAUCUUUAUUCAUGAAAAUUUCUAAAAUUCCUCCACAUUGAAUGUCUAUAAAAGCCUAAAGAAUAUUGCAGAAUUCUUUAGAGACGCACAACGAAUUUAUUUCACUCUCGAAAAUUCUAUUCAUUUUCUCUCCAAAUUUUUCAAAUGUUUGGUGAUAGAAGAAGGAAAGAUUUAUUUAUUGAUCACUGCAGAAGCACUACUCCCAUGAUCAUUUUGUUGUUGUUUCUUGGGAGACAGACGAUCAACGUUUCUCCAAGUACCAUAGGAGCUGUCGAGUCUAUCUUACGGAAACUGUGAAAACAGGCCUCAACAUCUAGUAAAAUUCGAUUCUCUUAUUCGAUUUCUAAUUUUUCAAGAUCUUGUUUAUUUAAUUAUUUUUUAGAUAUGAUGUUUUAAAUAAAUAUAAAUAUUUAUUUAAUUGAUUUUGUUUAGAUCCGGUGUUUUUACAUAAAUAUAAAUAUUUGUUUAUAUUAUUUGUUCAAAAUCUUGUAUUUAAUAUAAAUAUUUAUAUUUAUAUUUGUUCACUAAGGUGUUUUGUCCAAACUAUAGCUUCUCAAUAAUUGUCAAAUAUUAUAGUGAUAUGCUUUUUCUUUCAAUAAUUCAUAUCUUCAAGAUUAAAAGGUUUACUUUAGUAUUAUUCUAUUUAUUGAGUGUGUAUUAAUGUUUUGUACAGGAAUCCGUUGGAUUUUGGUCUUGUAUAAAUUAGCUGUGGUUGUGGGUAAAUAAAUGUGUGCCGUUCUUCAUUCUCCGAACAUGCUGAAUAUAAUUAUUGGCAUUUCAAGUGUGGCAUAAUAUAAAACAAUGGUUGGCUUCAUCAUAAUCUGUUUGGAGACUAACGGACCACACUUUGACCUCCAAAUUUAGAAAAUAUUUCCAGAGUUGGAAAUUGUAAUUGUAAUACCCUAAUAUUUGUACACCGCAGUGAACAUGGACAAUCAUGUCAUGAUGCAGAACCAGAAAAUGGUGCCAACUCUCCUUCUUCUCCCCCUCUUUCUUCCAAAACUAUAUCCUCGAAAAUGGUGACAUCAAACUUCCUUUCGUUUAUCAAAGGUUCACCCCUCACAUUACAGGGUCCUGUUCGUAUCUCAAGGCAAUCAAACAUGGAAUCCAUAUAUAUGAUUCUUCCCCAAUCCUUGUUGUAGAUUCUUUGGGGAUACAAGCCUUUUUGUUUGUAUUUAAAUACAAAAAAGGGAGAAAGAAAAGUGCCAUCUACAACUGCAUGCUAAUGAUUGCCAAAAUCACUGUUUGUUUUGUUGGAAGGCUUUCAAUCUUGCGGGGUCUUGAAGAGCCUGUUUCAGUAACUUGCCAUUAAUUCUCUCUUACAUUCCAAUCCUAAAAAAUGCUUCCAUCUUUUAGCUGCAACAGUUUAUAAUCAUCAGAAAGGUCUAGUCAGAAUAAUAUUACCUUCUCCUUUUAAACAGUUUUUUUUUUUUAAAUCAUGCCACUACAACUGUAGCUGCGCUCAUGUUAACAAUUAAUUCCUAUAAUCGACAUCAAAAUUAUAUGAAAGAAUUAACACUUGGUUACCGAGUUACCAUAUUUGAAGAUAACGCGAAAGGUAAAAACACAAAAGGCAAGCAUGACCAAGCAAACAAGGUAUGGACAUUGAUUUUUUUGAAUCGGGAAUGACCAAAUGGGACCGUGAAGAGGUGACAAAGGAGAAAUCAGGCAUUCACGGUUUCCAUUGGAUGAAAUGAGAUAAGAUCACUGUGCUUCUUCCACGUGGCAGGUUGCCAAAGAUAAGGCUUUACCAUUCAAGAAAAGUUUCCACCCUCUUUGUGGUCAUUAUGGUUGUAAUGUCAUCUGAUUUAGGAUCCAACGGUCACCCUGUCUCCCAAACCAAUCUCUAAAUGUGGUGAGCUUAGACCAAAUUUUAUGACUAUAUAUAGGGGAUUGCACCAAGGCAGUGACACUAUUAAGGGAUCAGUGAGACUCUUUUGUAUACCUGUAGCAUAUAGUAAUAGUAAGCAGUAAUAGCAAUGGCCUCCUCCAUGAUCUCAUCGGCAACCAUUGCCACCGUGAACCGCUCCUCCCCGGCACAGGCCAACAUGGUGGCCCCCUUCACCGGCCUCAAAUCUGCCUCUGCUUUCCCAGUCACCAGGAAGGCCAACAACGACAUCACUUCUCUUGCAAGCAACGGUGGGAGAGUGCAAUGCAUGCAGGUACUUGGUGAUGCAUAAAUACCACUUAAAUUACCCCAAGUGUUUGAACACAACAAAUUACAUAAAUUGAAUCAAAUAUAUAUCUUGGCUUUUGAGUACAGGUGUGGCCGCCUCUUGGGAAGAAGAAGUUCGAGACUCUCUCAUACCUGCCCGAUCUUACUCCCGUACAGUUGGCUAAGGAAGUAGAUUACCUUCUUCGCUCUAAAUGGAUUCCUUGCUUGGAAUUCGAAUUAGAGGUGUUUUGGAGCUCUAAAUUAUUCCAUUCCUCCUCUUAAUUUUUUUAGUGGGAUAUUUGAGUUGAUUAAGUGUGUUUUAUAUGUAUGUGCAGGAGGGAUUCGUGCACCGUAAGUACUCGAGCUUACCCACGUACUACGAUGGACGCUACUGGACCAUGUGGAAACUGCCCAUGUUCGGGUGCACCGACUCGGCUCAGGUGUUGAAGGAGCUUGAGGAAUGCAAGAAGGAAUACCCCAAUGCAUUCAUUAGAAUCAUUGGGUUCGACAACGUUCGUCAAGUGCAGUGCAUUAGUUUCAUUGCCUACAAGCCUGAAGGCUACUAAGUUGUUUACUUCCCUCCUAGGAAUUCCAUUUGUUUCAAAGUUGUACUUAAAUUAAGCCCCUCAAGCCCCCCCCCCCUUUUUCUUUUUCUUUUUUAGUUGAGUUAUUUGGCUUGGGGUCUCUCUUUGUUUUGUUUUUGGAUUUCCAAUGGAACGGCUGAGAACUAAUGAAUAAAAAGGUAGUUUCUUGCCAUAUUUCAUGAAUCCAGUUCUUCCUCCAUUUUCAGUGCUAAGAUAUUCAUGUUAAGAUAGGAUAAAAAUUAAAAGAAAAAAAGGUGAUUGGGUGGUCUGGCUUUAAAAUAAGAGGAUAAAGAUUUUGUGGACAAGCAACGCUGUGCUGUUGGAGGCUCAUUAUCUUAGUACAUAGGAAUACACCAAAGAAACCAUUUUUAUUAAAUUGUUUUAUUAUGACAUCACAAGUUUCUAUUAUUAAAAUAACAACUUAAAAAGGCUAAAUUCAAAUA
This 11325-nucleotide long non-coding RNA is filed under the name Gossypium barbadense (sea-island cotton). RNAcentral describes it as "long non-coding RNA (GBAR_LNC018070)". The stretch from base 1 to 96 matches the Rfam family "Plant small nucleolar RNA R71", at positions 12 to 107 of the family's 107-position model. Lineage: Eukaryota; Viridiplantae; Streptophyta; Magnoliopsida; Malvales; Malvaceae. The record is from RNAcentral.